RNAcentral lists this unclassified non-coding RNA (166 nucleotides) under uncultured Vertexicola. RNAcentral's name for it is "sequence contains ITS1". Lineage: Eukaryota; Fungi; Ascomycota; Sordariomycetes; Annulatascales; Annulatascaceae. The record is from RNAcentral.
CAGAGCCUAAAAACUCUCAAACCCAUUGUUAAUUAUACCUUUUUUGUUGCUUUGGCGGGCAGUCCCAGGGCGGGGCCUUGCCUGUAUUUUUGCAGGUGUCCGCCGAAAGCACCCCUAAAAUUCUUUUUUUAUGGCUGUCUGAGUUUUUUUUUAAAAAAAUAAGUCA